UACAGAGGUCUCAAGCGUUGUUCGGAUUCAUUGGGCGUAAAGGGUGCGUAGGCGGCGCGGUAAGUCGGGUGUGAAAUCUCGGAGCUUAACUCCGAAACUGCAUUCGAUACUGCCGUGCUUGAGGACUGGAGAGGAGACUGGAAUUUACGGUGUAGCGGUGAAAUGCGUAGAUAUCGGAAGGAACAUCAGUGGCGAAAGCGACUUCCUGGACCAGUACCGACGUUCAGGCACGAAAGCGUGGGGAGCAAACGGG
RNAcentral lists this ribosomal RNA (253 nucleotides) under uncultured bacterium. RNAcentral's name for it is "partial 16S ribosomal RNA". It matches the Rfam family "Bacterial small subunit ribosomal RNA", at positions 524 to 776 of the family's 1533-position model. The record is from RNAcentral.